Molecule: long non-coding RNA, 1028 nt
Filed under: Anas platyrhynchos platyrhynchos (common mallard)
Lineage: Eukaryota; Metazoa; Chordata; Aves; Anseriformes; Anatidae
Description: lncRNA (ENSAPLG00000030882.1)
Source: RNAcentral
GUUAAACUUUUGUUUCCUAAAUUUGGAGUAGAACCACUGAGUACUAAAUUGCAUUUAGAAACUGCUGAUUUCAUAUUGCUCACUUAUAAGCAUCGUUAGGAGCAUGCAAAUAGGUUUUUUGAAAAUGUUGAGAAAAAUUACAUGUUACACUUUACAUAUGCUUUAACAAUGUGCUUUAUGGAAGUGCUAAGAAUCUUUUUCUUGACAAUUUUUUUAAUGACUAUUCUACUUCCUUUUACUGACACACCUAUGUGGAUAAUUUGGUAUUUCACUCCCAUCUUUGGUGAGUCAGGUGUGUUUUGCUUUAAUCUCUCAUAUUCCAAGCCAAUACAGUCUUUGGUGAUUACCUUCAUCAUUCUCUCUCUAAUAUAGUUCAGUAUACAAACUGAUUAAAGUGUACAAUAAAUGAGAUAAGAACUGCGUUCUUCUAAUCCCAAAUUAUCACUUCAGACCCCAAACAUGUAACUGAAGGAUCAAAGGCUGACUUUUUAUCAUAAAUACAAUUCAAAAACAAAGAAAACCUGAAUUAUUUUCAAGUAAAUAAAAUCAGGCUAAAUCAUUGUAAAUCUAUAAACAUUCCUCUCACAUAAUACAGUGUAUUACAAUUUAUUUUGUACUUUUCUUUGUUAGGGCUACAAAUAGAAAGAUCUCAAGGUGUUAACCAGCUGAACAGAUAUUCAGCUCUUUUUAACUGAAUAACAAGGAGUAGCUGCCAGUAUACUGGAAAGUCACCAAAGCAAGAAGAUGAUACACAGUAGUGUAGGAACUGUAUUGUCAAGAUGCAUUUGAUUCCUGUUGACUGGGAGCCGAGACGUAUUUUGUUUAAACUCAUGGCUAUGAACUAUGUAGAAAAGGCUUCCUUUUCUCUGGAAAGGUCUUUGCAAACUCAGGGUCAUGGACAUAUUGCAGGCAUAAAACAAAGAUGUACAACAGACCCAAACAUGAAAACCAUUAUCAAAAUAGUGACAAAGCAAGGCCUAACAUGUGAGUGCCUUGGGGUUAGCAUAACAAUCACGGUGAAAACAUAA